UUUUGUUCGCAGAUACUACAGU
This 22-nucleotide microRNA is filed under the name Solanum lycopersicum (tomato). Its description in RNAcentral is "sly-miR9474-3p". Lineage: Eukaryota; Viridiplantae; Streptophyta; Magnoliopsida; Solanales; Solanaceae. The record is from miRBase by way of RNAcentral.